UGCAGUCGAGCGGACAGAAGGGAGCUUGCUCCCGGAUGUUAGCGGCGGACGGGUGAGUAACACGUGGGUAACCUGCCUGUAAGACUGGGAUAACUCCGGGAAACCGGAGCUAAUACCGGAUAGUUCCUUGAACCGCAUGGUUCAAGGAUGAAAGACGGUUUCGGCUGUCACUUACAGAUGGACCCGCGGCGCAUUAGCUAGUUGGUGGGGUAAUGGCUCACCAAGGCGACGAUGCGUAGCCGACCUGAGAGGGUGAUCGGCCACACUGGGACUGAGACACGGCCCAGACUCCUACGGGAGGCAGCAGUAGGGAAUCUUCCGCAAUGGACGAAAGUCUGACGGAGCAACGCCGCGUGAGUGAUGAAGGUUUUCGGAUCGUAAAGCUCUGUUGUUAGGGAAGAACAAGUGCGAGAGUAACUGCUCGCACCUUGACGGUACCUAACCAGAAAGCCACGGCUAACUACGUGCCAGCAGCCGCGGUAAUACGUAGGUGGCAAGCGUUGUCCGGAAUUAUUGGGCGUAAAGGGCUCGCAGGCGGUUUCUUAAGUCUGAUGUGAAAGCCCCCGGCUCAACCGGGGAGGGUCAUUGGAAACUGGGAAACUUGAGUGCAGAAGAGGAGAGUGGAAUUCCACGUGUAGCGGUGAAAUGCGUAGAGAUGUGGAGGAACACCAGUGGCGAAGGCGACUCUCUGGUCUGUAACUGACGCUGAGGAGCGAAAGCGUG
Molecule: ribosomal RNA, 723 nt
Filed under: Bacillus safensis
Lineage: Bacteria; Bacillati; Bacillota; Bacilli; Caryophanales; Bacillaceae
Also listed under: 1 other name
Description: bacterial SSU rRNA
Rfam family: Bacterial small subunit ribosomal RNA
Source: RNAcentral